UGAACUUUUACCUCGAAUUUGAUAUAAGCAGUCACUCGGUACCAAAAUCUAUGACAAACUAAACCAAUUUUUAUUUUGAAAAGAUCAUUUUCUCCCACUUAAGUAUCAAUAUACUAAUUUCACCUGCAUAUGCGAUAUACAUUUCUCAACUCAUUUAGUAUUCAAGAUCUUGCAGUUGCUACGCAGACUUUAGAACACGACAAUUAGCAAAAAGUCGAUGAACCAGUCUUUUUUCAAAGAACGUCUCGUCUUUAUCUGUAAAAAAAAG
Molecule: long non-coding RNA, 268 nt
Filed under: Mytilus galloprovincialis (Mediterranean mussel)
Lineage: Eukaryota; Metazoa; Mollusca; Bivalvia; Mytilida; Mytilidae
Source: RNAcentral